UGAAAUCAAACNGUGCCCGUUGCAGCUAGA
Molecule: non-coding RNA, 30 nt
Filed under: Rattus norvegicus (Norway rat)
Lineage: Eukaryota; Metazoa; Chordata; Mammalia; Rodentia; Muridae
Source: RNAcentral